RNAcentral lists this ribosomal RNA (253 nucleotides) under uncultured bacterium. Its description in RNAcentral is "partial 16S ribosomal RNA". It matches the Rfam family "Bacterial small subunit ribosomal RNA", at positions 524 to 776 of the family's 1533-position model. The record is from RNAcentral.
UACGUAGGCAGCGAGCGUUGUUCGGAGUUACUGGGCGUAAAGAGUGCGUAGGCGGUUUUCUAAGUUUGGUGUGAAAUCUCCCGGCUUAACUGGGAGGGUGCGCCGAAGACUGGAAGGCUUGAGUAUGGGAGAGGUAAGCGGAAUUCCUGGUGUAGCGGUGAAAUGCGCAGAUAUCGGGAGGAACACCAGUAGCGAAGGCGGCACUCUGGGCCGGUACUGACGCUGAGGAGCGAAAGCGUGGGGAGCGAACAGG